Molecule: transfer RNA, 72 nt
Filed under: Neojurtina typica
Lineage: Eukaryota; Metazoa; Arthropoda; Insecta; Hemiptera; Pentatomidae
Description: tRNA-Glu
Rfam family: tRNA
About the family: Transfer RNA (tRNA) molecules are approximately 80 nucleotides in length. Their secondary structure includes four short double-helical elements and three loops (D, anti-codon, and T loops).
Source: RNAcentral
AUUUAUAUAGUUUAAGCUAAAACGCUUCAUUUUCAAUGGAGUAUUGAGAUAAUAAUUUAUUCUCUAUAAAUA